UGGCUCUCGCAUCGAUGAAGAACGCAGCGAAAUGCGAUAAGUAAUGUGAAUUGCAGAAUUCAGUGAAUCAUCGAAUCUUUGAACGCACCUUGCGCCCCGUGGUUUUCCACGGGGCACGCCUGUUCAAGUGUCACGUUAACCCCUCGCACCGAGUCGAUGUCACCGUCGCUCGGCAGCGGACUUGGACGUUGCCGGCUCUGCCCGGCUCGUCUCGAAAUGCAUUAGCUGGAGUCGUCGCCCCCACGUGAGGUGUUGAUAAUUGUCUACGCCGAAAGCGUGGAGCUUCGCUCUGCUCAGAGUCUCGCCCUUCGAACGGCGAAAUCAUAACUCAAAGUUUGACCUCGAAUCAGGUGGGACUACCCGCUGA
RNAcentral lists this unclassified non-coding RNA (367 nucleotides) under uncultured fungus. RNAcentral's name for it is "partial contains 5.8S ribosomal RNA and internal transcribed spacer 2". The stretch from base 1 to 133 matches the Rfam family "5.8S ribosomal RNA", at positions 22 to 154 of the family's 154-position model. The record is from RNAcentral. Lineage: Eukaryota; Fungi.